Long non-coding RNA from Megalobrama amblycephala (Wuchang bream), 4240 nucleotides. RefSeq lists it as uncharacterized. The record is from RefSeq and is a predicted model, not a curated record. The transcript has 11 exons. NCBI's taxonomy places the organism in Eukaryota, Metazoa, Chordata, Actinopteri, Cypriniformes, Xenocyprididae.
UUGUCAGGCUGUAUGUCAGUGUCAUUACUCUAGCGUUUAUAUUGUAACAAGUUACGAAAAUAAGUCUCGAGUCUCACCUCGAGACUUUUCUCGAAUUUUCCUGUCCUGUCAGACGUCAUACUGUGCUCGAGGGUAUGCACGUGACGUCGACGUCGACCGUUACGACUGCGUCACACCCACUGAGUGGCAAAAGACCGAGCGCGGCAGCAUUGGUUUUCAGCGUGAAUGUCGCGAAAAACACACAAAACACAUCCAAAACGGAAAAGAGCUUUGCGACUGACUGACUAUAUUUAAAGAGUGCCGAAAGCUACAGAAGAAAGAAGCAAAUGGAUCACUGCAAUUCACAGAAACAGCUGGACUCCAGGCAGAGAAACAUGGAUUUGGAGUUAUCAUUUUGUGUGGAAUUGUUGGAUUUUGAGGAACAAAAAAUUGGGUCAUGGCCAAUGGGGAAAUUUGGGUCCCAGGGUCGAACCAGUUGAGAACCACUGCUUUGAACCGUAAUAGGAUUGAGUGAUUCAGAGAAGAGAACAUGUCUUCAGAUGGUCUCAUUGUGUUCAUAAAGAAGUUUGGAACAUCAUGAGGGGUUGACUGCAGUGGUUUCCAGAGCAGGCACAGCUUUUUCUCUGAAGGGAUUUACAGUGAACUGCAGGUGUCGUGGCCCUGUGGACUGUAUGGUACCAUUGUGAGAGGAACAAUGGCGCAGAAGGCUUGGGAACCACUGCUUUGCUUUGUUCUCGGCUAUUGUCUGUUUCCAGGAUGUCCUUCAGGAAAAUGACAAAAAAGGGGCAGUCAGACAUUCCAAACACAGACCAAAGCUGUACAGCAAUAUUGCCACAAGGAAGAGACUCGACCCAGUGUACCCAAAACAAAGACUGGAGCAGCUAACCAAGAGCUUCAACUACCCAGGGCCGAUGAGUUCACUUCAGUGCCGUGGAGCUGUGUACAUACAAACGGUUAAUGUGUGGUGUCACACACAUAUACACACCAAACCUGGCAGAGUGUGUCUAUUUGCAGUGGCGAGGGAGCGCUGACGUGUGUGACACCAGCGUGUGAAGGCCAGUAGGGUGAUUGUGGCCAUUCCAGUAAAGUGCGUACGACUUUGGGAAGAUGAAAGUCGUACAGGUUUGGAACGACUGAGGCAUGUCACAUCUGAAGAACAUAUUAGCAUCAAACAGCUUUACUCAGAUCUGUUACCCAGAUUUCAGCUGGCCCCGAAGAAGUUGAUUUGCAGUUUUUUCUUCAGUAUUGGAACAUGUGGAAGCACAUCUCUUUCCCAGUCACGUCGGUGCAGAGUGGAGAUGUGGCUUUUGGCUGUGAUUCAGACCUUUGGCAGAUGCAGUUGACGUUGUCACUUAGGUCAAGUUCUUCAGGCGUACUUCCCUCCAAUUGAGAAUGGACACCAGCCGGGUGGGAACAAUGAGCCCAAGCGGUCACCAGCACGUUCUUUCUGGGAAUAACUGCCAAGGAGAGCUGCUAGAAGGGGGAUUACAGCCAAUCCAAGUUCUUUUUUCAGUUUGAACCACAGCCUCCUGUUUUUAGUGACCAAUUACAUUGAGGCGGGAUCAGCACAUGUCCAAGCUGCCUUUCAUAGACUCUCUACCGCCUGCCUGCUUGGCCUCGCAUGUGAGGACAUGCUGAACAAACACCACUCUAUGCCCAAUUAUAAGGCCGCCUCUAUUAAAGGAUGCUUCUGAAUCAUAUAAGAAAAGACCUCUAGUUCUUUAAAAUCCCACUCAUGUCAUCAUCAGGGAUCCUGGAUGCUUUUGAACGAUACAUUUGGAGUUGUAAGUAGUGAAGUCAUGGGGACAGAGUAUUAAUUGUUCCUGGUCAGUCACCGCAAUUACAGUCAGGCUUGUUAGCAAAGCGGUCCUCUUUUUUUAUUGUGCAGAAAUGUUGCCCUAUUGUUCAUCUCCAUGCUCCAGAAAUUUCUGAUCAGUGUAGAUGAAUAAGCACAGACCAGCUCUCGCUCGCUAUUGAUUGUCGCAUAAGCCAAAGGCAGUUAAAAAUAAAUCCCUGGUGAACCAAAUGAGGUGCAAUUUGUUUGUUUCUCUUUAAGCUUGUAAAGUGGAACCAUGUGAAGCAGACUUAUAUCUCUGAAGACUUUGCAAAUAAUUGAAAGUCUCAAUUCCUGGUUACCACGUUUCAAACAUAAUUACAUGUUGCAGGCAUAGUUUGUUUUGUCUGAUGUGGUUCUUUCAUUUGCUUGCUGCUGUUUUCAGCCCCGAAAUCAGCAUCAAUAAAUUGAGUUUUUCAUGUUUUAUUUAUUUACCCAACAUAAUGCCAUGGCAUAAAACUACAGACUGAACAAAAGCAAUCUUUAAUACCUUACAUAAAUUGCAACACACUCUUGAAAUGCAUGAAUGCACUUCUGUAUAUGCUUUGCCAAAGAGUCAUUUGGUAGUGAUACAAAGCUGCCAUGCCAGUAUUUGUACUGAGAGAACCAUUAGAGAGUGAAAUGCAGCACACAGAAUAGCUUUCUGAUUUGGUGCUUGGGCAGAAAUUGUGUGAUCAGGUGGUCAGAGCUGACAGUAGUUGGGAUGUAAUGAUGCAGAAGACCUGGGGUGAAGCAUUCUCCUCGUGACGAGCAAUGCACAAUAGCACACACUAACCCACUCAGACAACAUGACUCCUUGCUAAAUCACCCAAUGCUUUAGAUGUAUAUAUCUGUAUGGCUACAUUUGAACAACACAUUCUAAAUGAUGGAUGAAGGAUAGACUCAUAUCCCUCAUGAUUCAUAAAUGUAAAAGUGAAUUCACAAUUAAAUGAAAUAGAGUACAAAAAUGGUGAAUAAAUAAAACUUUAUAAUAGAUUCGAAUAGUGAAAUGAAGUGGAAAAACAGCAUUUAUUUGAAGUAGAAAUCUUUUGUAACAAUGUUUUGUAACAUUAACAAUGUCUUUAUCACGGUUUCUACAAAAAAAAUAUUAAGCUGCAAAAAAACUGUUUUCAACAUUGAGGAUAAUAAGAUGUUUUUGUGGCACCAGAUCAGCAUAUAUGAUAUAUGAUUAUCCAUACAGUGAAAUUCAAUAGGGUUUGAUGUUGUUUUGGGUCCAAUUGACUUUAAUUGUAUGGACAAAAGCAUCUUGACAAAUAUCUUUUUUGUGUGUUUUCAGCAAACUCAUACAGGUUUGGAAAUGCAUGAGGGUGAGUAAAUGACAGAAUAUAUGUAGGGGUUACAUGUAGAAUUCAAAAACCGUUGUUAUUAGCGACACCGGUGGCUAUUAAGUGAACUGCAGCCAGCAACUUAUUGUACACACGUAACAUACAAGAGACUGGACUUGAUUCAAUGCCUCUACACUCUUGACGAAGUUCUUUUUCGUUCUGUUCUUAGUAGUAAAAAGAAGUCGGAAAUACCUUUGCAGCGAUAUACUUUUAACAAACAUUUCGAUGCCAUCCACGCUGCUGAGAGUGACAUCAAAGACUAUAGAUAUAGAAAGACGGUCCACUCCUAUUAGUUAUGAAUGGGAGAAACUCCAACGUGCAAUAUGGCAGAAUACUUCCCGCCUUCUAAGUAAAAUAGCCAAUCGCUGAUUGAUAUAGUCAUUGCGUCUCUGCAGCUGCUAUUAGAAGUUCCGGUUCUCAUAGAAACCUGAGACUCGCACUUAGGACUGCAUUGGCUCAUCUAGCCUGAAAAAUAAGCUUUUUUAAAUGCUAUUUGAGCAUAAGAAACAACAUUUAUAGGACAGUUCAUGUCAGAUUUUUUUGCUGAUUUGAAAUGUUAUUGUGCAUUCGCCAAGCAGUUUUUGAGAUUUCAGGAUUCCCCCAUUCAAAUAGAUGCCCAAAAUAGCUGCCCGAAGGCAUUGCAAAUAUGGCCGCCGAGUGAACAGACUUUCCUUGAAAGGUUCAAUGAAUAGGCCUAUGUAAAUAUGUGAUGCGCACAUUCCUUGAUAUCAAAAUAAACACAAUGAAAAUGACAGUGGUGAGAAAGCAACAGUUAAGAAAGCAUCUGAUCAUAGCGAUGUGGAUUUGUUUGCAUGAGCUCUGCAAUUCACUGGCAUCAUGUUGACAGAUUUAAUUAAAAUGACACUGUUAUGACAGAUUAUAGAGUAUUUAUUGAAACUAUUGCUCUUUGUAUGACAGAUUGGCAUUAAAGUACAGAAUAGCUGUUUCGACAUUAUCCUGAAUAUUGUAUAAGCAUUUGUUUCAUGCAUUGUAGAACAGAAGAGAGGCUAUCAAACUUCACAUCCUUUUCAUUUUCCUGGCAAAAAUGUCCCAAGCACUUCACAUAAAAACACAUAGCCGC